AUCGCUUCUCGGCCUUUUGGCUAAGAUCAAGUGUAUAAACUGCUAUAGAACACCACUCUUCCAUUUUUCCUUUUAGUCAUUCAUUCAAUAAACAUUCAUUAAACCUUUAUAAUAUGCAAAGUAGCAUGGUAAGCAAUGAGAAUUCAAAGAUGGAAAAGAACCACCUAUUUUUUCAAUCUAUGUUUCUCA
Molecule: non-coding RNA, 189 nt
Organism: Mustela putorius furo (domestic ferret)
Lineage: Eukaryota; Metazoa; Chordata; Mammalia; Carnivora; Mustelidae
Source: Rfam